GAUGAACGCUGGCGGCGUGCCUAAUACAUGCAAGUCGAGCGAACGGACGAGAAGCUUGCUUCUCUGAUGUUAGCGGCGGACGGGUGAGUAACACGUGGAUAACCUACCUAUAAGACUGGGAUAACUUCGGGAAACCGGAGCUAAUACCGGAUAAUAUUUUGAACCGCAUGGUUCAAAAGUGAAAGACGGUCUUGCUGUCACUUAUAGAUGGAUCCGCGCUGCAUUAGCUAGUUGGUAAGGUAACGGCUUACCAAGGCAACGAUGCAUAGCCGACCUGAUAGGGGGAUCGGCCACACUGGAACUGAGACACGGGCCAGACACCUACGGGAGGCAGCAGUAGGGAAUCUUCCGCAAUGGGCGAAAGCCUGACGGAGCAACGCCGCGUGAGUGAUGAAGGUCUGCGGAUCGUAAAACUCUGUUAUUAGGGAAGAACAUAUGUGUAAGUAACUGUGAAAAUCUUGACGGUACCUAAUCAGAAAGCCACGGCUAACUACGU
RNAcentral lists this ribosomal RNA (496 nucleotides) under uncultured bacterium. RNAcentral describes it as "partial 16S ribosomal RNA". It matches the Rfam family "Bacterial small subunit ribosomal RNA", at positions 28 to 506 of the family's 1533-position model. The record is from RNAcentral.